Aricia agestis (brown argus) is the source of this 299-nucleotide long non-coding RNA. RefSeq lists it as uncharacterized. NCBI's taxonomy places the organism in Eukaryota, Metazoa, Arthropoda, Insecta, Lepidoptera, Lycaenidae. The record is from RefSeq and is a predicted model, not a curated record. The transcript has 2 exons.
GAAAAUCAUUAUCAUUAGUUAUCCACUUGUAAUCUAUACAACAUCCGCAACGACUACAGACGCAACAUGAACUUCUUGAAGAUAUUGUCCACUUUCGUCUUUGGUCUGAUUGUGGCCGCUGGUGUCGUGCAAGCUGACCCCGAGCCCAGCAAAAACAUGUACAUGCCAAAAGGCCAGCUUGGGUCCGGUGGUAUGAAAAAUCUUGGACGCUAAAUUAUUAUUAUUUACUAUAGAUCACAAACGUUGAUAUUGGCUUAUGUAUUACUUUAAAUACUUAAUAAAUAUUAAUAUUGCCUAGA